This 30-nucleotide non-coding RNA is filed under the name Rattus norvegicus (Norway rat). The record is from RNAcentral. Lineage: Eukaryota; Metazoa; Chordata; Mammalia; Rodentia; Muridae.
UGUUAGGAGAUGUGGCCUUGUUUGAGGAAG